AUUGAACGCUGGCGGCAGGCCUAACACAUGCAAGUCGAGCGGCAGCGCGGGGGCAACCCUGGCGGCGAGCGGCGAACGGGUGAGUAAUACAUGGGAAUCUGCCUGGUAGUGGGGGAUAACUCUGGGAAACUAGAGGUAAUACCGCAUACGUCCUACGGGAGAAAGGGGGGAUCUUCGGACCUCUCGCUAUCAGAGGAGCCCAUGUCCGAUUAGCUAGUUGGUGAGGUAAAGGCUCACCAAGGCGACGAUCGGUAACUGGUCUGAGAGGAUGGUCAGUCACACUGGAACUGAGACACGGUCCAGGACUCCUACGGGAGGCAGCAGUGGGGAAUAUUGGACAAUGGGGGGCAACCCGUGAUCCAGCCAUGCCGCGUGUGUGAAGAAGGCCUCGGUUGUAAGCACUUAAGUGGGAGGUAAGGGACUCGUACGUGAUAUCGU
Molecule: ribosomal RNA, 438 nt
Filed under: uncultured bacterium
Lineage: Bacteria
Description: bacterial SSU rRNA
Rfam family: Bacterial small subunit ribosomal RNA
Source: RNAcentral